This 549-nucleotide ribosomal RNA is filed under the name uncultured bacterium. RNAcentral's name for it is "bacterial SSU rRNA". It matches the Rfam family "Bacterial small subunit ribosomal RNA", at positions 355 to 895 of the family's 1533-position model. The record is from RNAcentral.
UAGGGAAUCUUCGGCAAUGGGCGAAAGCCUGAUGGAGCAACGCCGCGUGUGUGAUGAAGGCUUUAGGGUCGUAAAGCACUGUUGUAUGGGAAGAAAUGCUAGAAUAGGGAAUGAUUCUAGUUCGACGGUACCAUACCAGAAAGGGACGGCUAAAUACGUGCCAGCAGCCGCGGUAAUACGUAUGUCCCGAGCGUUAUCCGGAUUUAUUGGGCGUAAAGCGAGCGCAGACGGUUGAUUAAGUCUGAUGUGAAAGCCCGGAGCUCAACUCCGGAAUGGCAUUGGAAACUGGUUAACUUGAGUGUUGUAGAGGUAAGUGGAACUCCAUGUGUAGCGGUGGAAUGCGUAGAUAUAUGGAAGAACACCAGUGGCGAAGGCGGCUUACUGGACAACAACUGACGUUGAGGCUCGAAAGUGUGGGUAGCAAACAGGAUUAGAUACCCUGGUAGUCCACACCGUAAACGAUGAAUACUAGGUGUUAGGAGGUUUCCGCCUCUUAGUGCCGAAGCUAACGCAUUAAGUAUUCCGCCUGGGGAGUACGACCGCAAGGUU